This 484-nucleotide ribosomal RNA is filed under the name uncultured bacterium. Its description in RNAcentral is "partial 16S ribosomal RNA". It matches the Rfam family "Bacterial small subunit ribosomal RNA", at positions 30 to 507 of the family's 1533-position model. The record is from RNAcentral.
AUUGAACGCUGGCGGCAGGCCUAACACAUGCAAGUCGAGCGGAUGAAGGGAGCUUGCUCCUGGAUUCAGCGGCGGACGGGUGAGUAAUGCCUAGGAAUCUGCCUGGUAGUGGGGGAUAACGUCCGGAAACGGGCGCUAAUACCGCAUACGUCCUGAGGGAGAAAGUGGGGGAUCUUCGGACCUCACGCUAUCAGAUGAGCCUAGGUCGGAUUAGCUAGUUGGUGGGGUAAGGGCCUACCAAGGCGACGAUCCGUAACUGGUCUGAGAGGAUGAUCAGUCACACUGGAACUGAGACACGGUCCAGACUCCUACGGGAGGCAGCAGUGGGGAAUAUUGGACAAUGGGCGAAAGCCUGAUCCAGCCAUGCCGCGUGUGUGGAGAAGGUCUUCGGAUUGUAAAGCACUUUAAGUUGGGAGGAAGGGCAGUAAGUUAAUACCUUGCUGUUUUGACGUUACCAACAGAAUAAGCACCGGCUAACUUCGUG